RNAcentral lists this ribosomal RNA (501 nucleotides) under uncultured bacterium. RNAcentral describes it as "bacterial SSU rRNA". It matches the Rfam family "Bacterial small subunit ribosomal RNA", at positions 417 to 917 of the family's 1533-position model. The record is from RNAcentral.
UUCGGGGUGUAAACCACUGUUGCCCGGGACGAACAGCUCGAUUUCUCGAGCCUGACGGUACCGGGUGAGGAAGCACCGGCUAACUCCGUGCCAGCAGCCGCGGUAAUACGGGGGGUGCGAGCGUUGUCCGGAAUCACUGGGCGUAAAGGGCGCGUAGGUGGUUUGAUAAGGGUGUGGUGAAAGUCCGGGGCUCAACCCCGGAUCUGCCGUGCCGACUGUCAAACUCGAGGGCUGUAGAGGCAGACGGAAUUCCGGGUGUAGCGGUGGAAUGCGUAGAGAUCCGGAGGAAGACCGGUGGCGAAGGCGGUCUGCUGGGCAGUUUCUGACACUGAUGCGCGACAGCGUGGGGAGCAAACAGGAUUAGAUACCCUGGUAGUCCACGCCGUAAACGAUGGGUACUAGGUGCCUGGGGGAGCGACCCUCUGGGUGCCGGCGCUAACGCAGGAAGUACCCCGCCUGGGGAGUACGACCGCAAGGUUGAAACUUAAAGGAAUUGACGGA